Molecule: ribosomal RNA, 231 nt
Filed under: uncultured bacterium
Lineage: Bacteria
Description: partial 16S ribosomal RNA
Rfam family: Bacterial small subunit ribosomal RNA
Source: RNAcentral
UGCCUACGGGGGGCAGUAGUAGGGAAUCUUCGGCAAUGGGGGAAAGCCUGACCGAGCAACGCCGCGUGAAUGAAGAAGGCCUUCGGGUUGUAAAAUUCUGUUCUAAGGGAAGAAAGGUGAUAGGAGGUAAUGACUAUCAAUUGCCGGUACCUUAUGAGAAAGCCACGGCUUACUACGUGCCAGCAGCCGCGGUAAUACGUAGGUGGCAAGCGUUAUCCGGAAUUAUUGGGC